GACGAACGCUGGCGGCGUGCUUAACACAUGCAAGUCGAACGGAAAGGCCCUGCUUUUGUGGGGUGCUCGAGUGGCGAACGGGUGAGUAACACGUGAGUAACCUGCCCUUGACUUUGGGAUAACUUCAGGAAACUGGGGCUAAUACCGGAUAGGAGCUCCUGCUGCAUGGUGGGGGUUGGAAAGUUUCGGCGGUUGGGGAUGGACUCGCGGCUUAUCAGCUUGUUGGUGGGGUAGUGGCUUACCAAGGCUUUGACGGGUAGCCGGCCUGAGAGGGUGACCGGACACACUGGGACUGAGAUGCGGCACAGACUCGUACGGGAGGCAGCGGUGGAGAAUAUUGCAUAAUAGGCGGAAGGCUAGUGCAGCGACGCCGCGUGGGGGAUGACGGCCUUCGGGUUGUGAUGCGCUUUGGCUUGAGACGAAGCGUGAGUGACGGUAAUGGGUAAAGAAGCACCGGCUAACUACGUG
RNAcentral lists this ribosomal RNA (468 nucleotides) under uncultured bacterium. Its description in RNAcentral is "partial 16S ribosomal RNA". It matches the Rfam family "Bacterial small subunit ribosomal RNA", at positions 28 to 507 of the family's 1533-position model. The record is from RNAcentral.